UAAGGAAUAUUGGUCAAUGGACGCAAGUCUGAACCAGCCAUGCCGCGUGAAGGAUGAAGGUCCUCUGGAUUGUAAACUUCUUUUAUCUGGGACGAAAACGGGAUUUUUAUCUCAAUUGACGGUACCAGAGGAAUAAGCACCGGCUAACUCCGUGCCAGCAGCCGCGGUAAUACGGAGGGUGCGAGCGUUAUCCGGAUUUACUGGGUUUAAAGGGUGCGUAGGUGGGCUUAUAAGUCAGUGGUGAAAUCUCCGAGCUUAACUUGGAAACUGCCGUUGAUCCUAUAGGUCUUGAAUUAUCUGGAGGUGAGCGGAAUAUGUCAUGUAGCGGCGAAAUGCUUAGAUAUGACAUAGAACACCAAUUGCGAAGGCAGCUUACUACAUAUAAAUUGACGCUGAGGCACGAAAGCGUGGGGA
RNAcentral lists this ribosomal RNA (414 nucleotides) under uncultured bacterium. RNAcentral describes it as "bacterial SSU rRNA". It matches the Rfam family "Bacterial small subunit ribosomal RNA", at positions 355 to 767 of the family's 1533-position model. The record is from RNAcentral.